This 205-nucleotide ribosomal RNA is filed under the name uncultured bacterium. Its description in RNAcentral is "partial 16S ribosomal RNA". It matches the Rfam family "Bacterial small subunit ribosomal RNA", at positions 1299 to 1500 of the family's 1533-position model. The record is from RNAcentral.
UGUAGGCUGAAACUACGCCUACAUGAAGCUGGAGUUGCUAGUAAUCGCGAAUCAGCAUGUCGCGGUGAAUACGUUCCCGGGCCUUGUACACACCGCCCGUCACACCAUGAGAGUUGGCAAUACCCAACGUACGUGAUCUAACCCGCAAGGGAGGAAGCGUCCUAAGGUAGGGUCAGCGAUUGGGGUGAAGUCGUAACAAGGUAUC